Fopius arisanus is the source of this 1123-nucleotide long non-coding RNA. RefSeq lists it as uncharacterized. The record is from RefSeq and is a predicted model, not a curated record. The transcript is spliced from 3 exons. Lineage: Eukaryota; Metazoa; Arthropoda; Insecta; Hymenoptera; Braconidae.
GGUGGGAGCAGCUCAGUAGCAGUCCCGCUGUCAGAGGGUGCAGUCGGCAUGGUGGAUGCUAUUUUCUGCGUUACGAAAUUUGUAUUCACUGAAAUUGAAAAAUUUUCUGGAGUCACUUAAAUUUUUUGCCUCCAUGUAACCAACCAAAUCCACUUAACCCUUAACCAAAUAGUUUCAGGAGAACAUGAAAAUCGAAGAGGCCGGAUAUCAGCGUUUAACGCGGGAGAAAGUGUGAAUAUAUCAGGAUAAAUCGAGGGUGCGGUGAGAUCAUGAUCGAAGAAUCCAUCAGAACUUACUCCAAGCCGUAUUAGAUAUUCCUUCGUAUAAAUUCACUCUGCAUGAUGGAUUUGGUGAAGAUUAAAGGGAUGAGCUGGGAAGAAUAUCAAUUGUGAAAGGCAUAGUGGUUAUUUUUAUCGAGUUGUCGACGCUCCCAAGUGAUCUUUUAUUGAAUGAAAGAUUUAGUGAACCAUUCAAUUUGAAAUGCUAAGGUAUAUUGUGUUGUAUCAAAAAUUUAUAAUCAUGUGGAAUCAGAAAUCCCGAAGGUUUGUUAGAUUAAUCAUCAAGUGUGGGAAUUUAUCAUUAUUCAAUGACUCCUAAAAUGUCAUGACUUAAAUAAUUUUCCUGCAUAUUUUCGAAAUCUUCCCGAAAUUCCUAAAACUCUGAAAAAAAUUCUAGAAAAGUAUUGCACGUUCAUGAAGCUGUGCAAGUUAAAAAACAAUUGUAAAAUGCAAAAACGAUAUAUUUUUUCGUCUCAAUCCAAUCAACGAUUUGUCAUACAAAUUAAAAAAUCGAUAAUUUUGGUUAAAAAGAGGGCCAACAUCCUUAAAGGUUAUUACAUUUUUGAAUUAAGGAAACAAUUAAAAAAUAUUCAUAGAAAUGUAAUUUAGGAAUUUAAAGAAUUAAGUGUUUGUAUUUGCAGGAAAUAAUUUUUAAUUAUUUUUUAAAAGAAAAAGAAGAUACCUUUCCAAAUUUAAUCCAAAAAUGCUCCCAUCCCAAAAUUAUUACUUAUUAUAAUUGAUUUACUCUAUGGAAUAAAUACUGUAGGUUAUCUAUUCGAAGAUCUCGUAAGACCUUCAAUAGUAAUAAGAUAUGUUUUUUACAUCACUCUAAGUUUUUCCAUUUU